Long non-coding RNA from Pararge aegeria (speckled wood butterfly), 204 nucleotides. RefSeq lists it as uncharacterized. The record is from RefSeq and is a predicted model, not a curated record. The transcript has 3 exons. NCBI's taxonomy places the organism in Eukaryota, Metazoa, Arthropoda, Insecta, Lepidoptera, Nymphalidae.
CAGCAGCAGCUUUUAAGCAGCUUUUGGCAGUACUCUGGUUCUAAAAUUCCUACAAUACUACUGUUGGGUUAAAAGAUGUAACUAGAACAAUGGAGCAUGUAAGGAAGAUUUGAUCCCGGCAGCCAAGAAGCGACACCCCUGAACACCAUUUAAGAAGGACAAUAAUAGACAGGUGUUGGAUGGUGGAGAAAGAAGUUGGCGUUG